AUGGAACCCUAUGUUGGCAUGAGGUUUGACAGCCUUCAAAUUGCUAAGGAUCACUACAACAGUUACGCACUACGGAUGGGUUUCUCUAUCAAGAUGAACACCUCUAGACGGACACCCCGCACCAAUGAAUUGAUAAAACAACAGUUUUGCUGCAACAAGUUCAAGAAGCCCAAAGCUGAUGAUGGAGGAGCUGAGGCUCCUCCUUACCUGGACCCUAUUCCAGAUCCAACAUCUGUUAAUAGUGAUGAGGAGAUGGAAGAAGAACCUCCAAUAUUUGCUGAAGAGGAUGUUGGUACUAGUAAGAAGAAGAAGAAGCGCAAACGUGAGACAAUAAAGCAGACUGAAUGCAAGGCGAAAAUGUUGGUGAAGCUGAUAGAUGGGCGAUGGGAGGUGACGCACUUUGUUCGUGACCACAAUCAUCCGCUCGUGAACAAACCUUCAUUGUCCAAAUACUUGAGAUCCCACCAAGGCAUCUCACCUGAUGAAAAGGAGUUUCUGCGCAUCUUGUAUAACUGCAACUUGACUACAGGCGACUACAAUCCAAGUACCAUGACAUGCCGUGCUACUGCAGGUGAUCGUGACGGUCCUACUGCCCCGUUGGAGGCUGCAUCCCUUGCACAAGCUUCUGAUGAUUUUGUGCCCAGGGAUCCUCCAAGGUCUACUACAAAGGGUAGGGCAAAGAGUCGACGGUACAAAUCGGCGCUGGAGCUACACCCAAAGAAGAAAAAUAAAUGCAGCCAGUGCCAAUCUACAGAGCACACUGCUGGUGUGUGUCCACAGAGGCUCCUAUGA
Molecule: ribosomal RNA, 792 nt
Filed under: Triticum aestivum (bread wheat)
Lineage: Eukaryota; Viridiplantae; Streptophyta; Magnoliopsida; Poales; Poaceae
Description: partial small subunit ribosomal RNA
Source: RNAcentral